This 157-nucleotide small RNA is filed under the name Camellia sinensis. Its description in RNAcentral is "transcribed RNA". Lineage: Eukaryota; Viridiplantae; Streptophyta; Magnoliopsida; Ericales; Theaceae. The record is from RNAcentral.
UUAUCUUCUUCUUCAUUGUCUUCUUCUUCUUUCUGAUCAUUUUCUUCUAUGUCUUCUACUUCUACAUUUUCUUCUCUAGCUUCUGUUUCUGCACUACUUGCUUGACCUUCUUUUCCAUUGCUUGAUCUGCUUGCUUGUCUUGUGCAUCAUCCCUCCU